This 253-nucleotide ribosomal RNA is filed under the name uncultured bacterium. RNAcentral's name for it is "partial 16S ribosomal RNA". It matches the Rfam family "Bacterial small subunit ribosomal RNA", at positions 524 to 776 of the family's 1533-position model. The record is from RNAcentral.
UACAGAGGGCUCAAGCGUUGUUCGGAUUCACUGGGCGUAAAGGGUGCGUAGGUGGUGAGGUAAGUCGGAUGUGAAAUCUCCGGGCUCAACCCGGAAAUGGCAUUGGAAACUACCUUGCUGGAGGAUUUGAGGGGGGAUUGGAAUACUUGGUGUAGCAGUGAAAUGCGUAGAUAUCAAGUGGAACACCAGUGGCGAAGGCGAAUCCCUGGAAAAUACCUGACACUGAGGCACGAAAGCUAGGGGAGCAAACAGG